RNAcentral lists this ribosomal RNA (484 nucleotides) under uncultured bacterium. Its description in RNAcentral is "partial 16S ribosomal RNA". It matches the Rfam family "Bacterial small subunit ribosomal RNA", at positions 30 to 507 of the family's 1533-position model. The record is from RNAcentral.
AUUGAACGCUGGCGGCAGGCCUAACACAUGCAAGUCGAGCGGAUGAAGGGAGCUUGCUCCUGGAUUCAGCGGCGGACGGGUGAGUAAUGCCUAGGAAUCUGCCUGGUAGUGGGGGAUAACGUCCGGAAACGGGCGCUAAUACCGCAUACGUCUUGAUGGAGAAAGUGGGGGAUCUUCGGACCUCACGCUAUCAGAUGAGCCUAGGUCGGAUUAGCUAGUUGGUGGGGUAAAGGCCUACCAAGGCGACGAUCCGUAACUGGUCUGAGAGGAUGAUCAGUCACACUGGAACUGAGACACGGUCCAGACUCCUACGGGAGGCAGCAGUGGGGAAUAUUGGACAAUGGGCGAAAGCCUGAUCCAGCCAUGCCGCGUGUGUGAAGAAGGUCUUCGGAUUGUAAAGCACUUUAAGUUGGGAGGAAGGGCAGUAAGUUAAUACCUUGCUGUUUUGACGUUACCAACAGAAUAAGCACCGGCUAACUUCGUG